UUCCCUUUAAAAUCAGGGGUUUUAUCCUUUAAAAUCAGUGAAAUAUUUUCCUUUAAAAUCAGGGGUUUCUUUCCUUUAAAAUCAGUGAAAUAUUUUCCUUUAAAAUCAGGGGUUUUAUCCUUUAAAAUCAGUGGAAUAUUUUCCUUUAAAACCAGUUUUGGAUCUCAGAGCUUCCCUGUUUUCCCAGCCACCAGGAGCCAAAAAUCUGUCCCAAAACCUUGGGGAAUCUCCCAUCCCUUCCUCAGGGCUCUCCCCACACCUUCCCAGCCUUUUUGCAUCUCCCUGCCCAAAAAUUGGGGAAUUGCUGCUCCCAGAGGGAAUUACUGACUUCAAAGGGUUGGGGAAAUAAAAACCACUCAGAUGCAAAACAUGCAAAAAACUAUUUUACUGACAAACAGCAAAGGAUGGGUUUGGUUCCAGGAGCUGAACUGGUUCUCUAUGGUACAAACAUCUUGGAAGGGAAGGAAUGGCUGAAAUACACUCACUUGUUGACCCAAAAUAAAUCACAGUGUGCUUUUUUUCUAUUGCCUCCCCCAGCCCAAGCUCUCUGCACCUUCAGCUGCUCCUCCAGCACAGCCCUGGCUGAAAUCUGCCUGUGCAAGUUGUAUUUCAAUAAAAAUAAAAAUAAAAAUUGGCCAUUAUUGCUUUUCAACCACAGUAGGGAUGGUUCUGUGAUGGAGCCAGAGCAGAGCUGGGUCUGUGGUGCAGUCUGGGCUGUGCCUCUCCCUGCCUGGUGCAUGCAGGAAAAAGGAAAAAAGGGAAAAUAAGGAUGGAGAUGGGGGCAGGCAGCACUGCAGGCUCGGUGCUGCUGCUCCAGGAGGGGAAAUCCUCCCAGGGAGAGCAGGAGGGGCUGGGAGCCCCCGGGAACAGGAAUGGGGGAGCCACAGCGGGGACAGGGCCAUGCAGGGCACGGAGGGACACACAGACAGAGCUCAGGACACACGGACACACAGCAGGGCCCGCAGCCCAGCCGGGGCGGGCAGCUCCUGCUGGCGCUGCCACAUCUGCCCUCUGCUCCUCCUCCUCUCCUCUUCUUCCUCACUUCUUCCUCUCCUCCUCUUCCUCUCCUCUGCUUCCCUUUCCUCUUCUUCCUCUCCUUUUACUUCAUCUCCUCUCCUUCCUCUCCUUCCUCUCCUACUCUUCCUCUCCUCUGCUUCCUCUCCUUUACUUCAUCUCCUCUCCUUCCCUUUCCUCUUCUUCCUCUCCUUUACUUCAUCUCCUCUCCUUCCCUUUCCUCUUCUUCCUCUCCUUUACUUCAUCUCCUCUCCUUCCCUUUCCUCUUCUUCCUCUUUUACUUCAUCUCCUCUCCUUCCUCUCCUCUGCCCUCUCCUCUUCUUCCUCUCCUUUACUUCAUCUCCUCUUCUUUCUCUCUUCUUCCUCUCCUCUUCUUCCUCUCCUUUAAUUCCUCUCCUUCCUCUCCUCUGCUUCCUUCUCCUUCCUCCUCUUCUCCUCUUCUCCUCUGCUUCCCUCUCUGCUUCCUCUCCUGUCCUUCUUCUCUUCUUCCUCUCCUUCCUCUCCUCUUCUUCCUUCCCUUUACUUCAUCUCUGCUUCCUCUCCUCUGCUUCCUCUUCCUCUCUUCCCUUCUCUGCACCCUUCUCCUCUUCUUCCUCUCCUCUUCUUCCCCUCCUUUAAUUCUUCUCCUUCCUCUCUUCUUCUUCUCCUCUGCUUCCCUCUGUUUCCCUCUCUGCUUCUCUCUCCUCUUCUUCCUCACCUUUGCUUCCUCUCCUCUUCCUCCCCUCUCCUUCCUUCUCUGCUUCCUUCUCCUCNCAGCACCGGCAGAAGAUGGAGUGGCUGCAGACAGAAGGUGCAGAAGCAAACAGAGAGACUGCCAGGAACCCCCUGCUGCCCUUCCACCAAGGGACACCGGUGUGAGGAGCCUGCAGGAUUCACCUGAGCACAGAGAAAAAGGCAAAGGUUUGGUGGGGCGGCCGUGGAGAGCAGCCCGUGGUGCCAGGGAGGGGCUGCCCUGGGUCUCCAGUGCAAGAGCAGAAAAACAAAAUGGGUUCAAAAGGAAGAAAUAACUGGAUUUAUUAAAGGAACCCUUGGUGAAACACCACUGGCUGUGUUGGUGUGUGUGGCCUGACCCCAAAUCCUUCUGAGGUGUUUCUGCACCUGUGGGAACCCGGGGAUUGUCCAAGCCUGACAUUUACAUCCCAUACAUUUAACUUUGUAGGAUUUGUUCUCCAGCAGAGCCAUUUCUCACCCUUUUAUCCCCAAAUCCUUCUGAGGUGUUUCUGCACUGUCCCAGCACCUGUGGGAUUGUCCAAGCCUGACCUCCCAUACAUUUAAAUCUGUAGGGUUUGUGUUCCAGCAGAGCCAUUUCUCACCCUUUUAUCCCCAAAUCCUGCCCAUGACACAGCUCCUUCCUCACUUGAGUUACCCUUCAAGAUUAAAUUUUUCUUAGAAAUGUGGAUCUGGGGGGAUUCACUGUUUAACACAAGUGAUCUGAGAGCAGCCCCACAUAUUUUUUCCCCCAAGUAAAUCAGUUUUCUCCAUGAAGAGCUGAGUUUGGGGCACACAGAUGCAGCAUGGCCUGAAGAGAGACAUGAGUGGAGCUUGUUUGCUCCCACUGCUCUUGCCACACAAAUUUUCUGCUGCAUUUCUGCACCAGCUGGGAGAACGUGCCAUUGUCAGGGCCUGAACACGAGCCUGCCUUGAUGAGAUGACAUUUGUUCUUCUGUGCAUAUGAGAGACAGGUUAGAAAACCUCCUGAUUUUUUUUUCUCUGUGUUUGAACUGGAUCUGAACUCUGUGCUCUGCUCUGAGGUCUCUUGUGUAGCUACACAGCCCCAGCACGGUGGCCUGACCUAAAUCUGUGCCCUUGCUGAGCUCUGCUCACACAGGAGCUGCCACCAGCUCCACUUUGGCCGUGCUGAGCUGUUCCUGGCCCUUCUCCUGAAAUUCCUCUGAUUUUCCUGCUUUUCCUGCCCUUCCAGGCAUUGGGCUUGAGAGGCUCGGGCACCCAGAAUUGAACAGUAUUGAAAUAUUUUCCUUUAAAAUCGGCGGUUUUUUUCCUUUAAAA
This is a long non-coding RNA of Zonotrichia albicollis (white-throated sparrow), 3021 nucleotides long. NCBI's taxonomy places the organism in Eukaryota, Metazoa, Chordata, Aves, Passeriformes, Passerellidae. The record is from Ensembl.